This 427-nucleotide ribosomal RNA is filed under the name uncultured bacterium. RNAcentral's name for it is "bacterial SSU rRNA". It matches the Rfam family "Bacterial small subunit ribosomal RNA", at positions 46 to 519 of the family's 1533-position model. The record is from RNAcentral.
GCCUAACACAUGCAAGUCGAACGAACCCUCGGGUUAGUGGCGGACGGGUGAGUAACGUGUGAGAAUCUGCCCUCAGGAGGGGGACAACAGCUGGAAACGGCUGCUAAUACCCCAUAUGCCGCGAGGUGAAAUGAAUUUCGCCUGAGGAUGAGCUCGCGUCUGAUUAGCUAGUUGGUGUAGGUAAUGGCUCACCAAGGCAUCGAUCAGUAGCUGGUCUGAGAGGAUGAUCAGCCACACUGGGACUGAGACACGGCCCAGACUCCUACGGGAGGCAGCAGUGGGGAAUUUUCCGCAAUGGGCGAAAGCCUGACGGAGCAACGCCGCGUGAGGGAUGAAGGCCUCUGGGCUGUAAACCUCUUUUAUCAAGGAAGAAGAUCUGACGGUACUUGAUGAAUAAGCCACGGCUAAUUCCGUGCCAGCCGCCGCG